Molecule: ribosomal RNA, 465 nt
Filed under: Vreelandella stevensii
Lineage: Bacteria; Pseudomonadati; Pseudomonadota; Gammaproteobacteria; Oceanospirillales; Halomonadaceae
Description: partial 16S ribosomal RNA
Rfam family: Bacterial small subunit ribosomal RNA
Source: RNAcentral
CCUACGGGAGGCUGCAGUGGGGAAUAUUGGACAAUGGGCGAAAGCCUGAUCCAGCCAUGCCGCGUGUGUGAAGAAGGCCUUCGGGUUGUACAGCACUUUCAGUGGGGAAGAAAGCCUUGGGGCUAAUACCCUCGAGGAAGGACAUCACCCACAGAAGAAGCACCGGCUAACUCCGUGCCAGCAGCCGCGGUAAUACGGAGGGUGCGAGCGUUAAUCGGAAUUACUGGGCGUAAAGCGCGCGUAGGCGGUCUGAUAAGCCGGUUGUGAAAGCCCCGGGCUCAACCUGGGAACGGCAUCCGGAACUGUCAGGCUAGAGUGCAGGAGAGGAAGGUAGAAUUCCCGGUGUAGCGGUGAAAUGCGUAGAGAUCGGGAGGAAUACCAGUGGCGAAGGCGGCCUUCUGGACUGACACUGACGCUGAGGUGCGAAAGCGUGGGUAGCAAACAGGAUUAGAUACCCGGGUAGUC